GAAACUAUUAAGGAUAAUUAGCUAUAUAUUAAAGAAAGAUAGAAUAAUUCUAAAUUCUAAAAUAAAUUAAAUAAAUAAAUAAAGUGAAUUGAAAUAUCUUAAUAACUUUAAAAAAAAAAAAUCAAACGAGAUUCUAAAUUUAAUGUAAAAUUAAAAUUAGAGAAGUUUAUAAGUAAAAUGGAUGAUAUCUGUUUGAAUAAAGGGGAACCUUCCUCUAAAACUAAAUAUAAUAUAUAAGCGAUAGAGAAAAGUACCGUGAGGGAAAAUUUGAAAUAGUAGUUUUAUAAGCAGCUCAGAGUAAAAUUUUGAAUAAAUAAUAUGAGCGUACCUUUUGUAUAAUGGGUCAGUAAGUUAUAGUUAGAAGCAAGCAAAAAUUAAUAAUAUUUUGCCUAGAUAAACCAAUUAUGAAAAAAUGAUAAAGUUUCUAAUUAUAGACCCGAAGACUAGUGAUCUUACUAUGAUCAGGAUUAUAAAAGUCCGAACGGGUUAUCGUGGUAAAGAUAUCCGAAGAAUCAUUGUAAGUUCGUGAAAGACAAAACAGACUAGUAUAGCUGGUUUUCCGCGAAACCUAUGUAAGUAGGUAAUUUAAUUAACAUCUUAGCAGGUACAGAACUGUGAUCUCGAGCAAAAAUUUUUGUUUACAUCGGGGAAUCGUGUUGAUUUUAUCGGAGAGUAUUUGCACUCGGAAGGGCAAAGAUGAAUAUUAAAUAAUCAGACAUAGUGCGAUAAGGUUGUAUGUCUAAAAGGGAAACAGCCCAGAACAAGUGUUAUAAGGUUCCAAAAUUAUUGUUAAGUGAAAUUAAGGAUGUUUUUUUCAAAAACAAUCAGGAAAUAGGCUUAGAAGCGGCCAUUUUUUGAAGACCUACCGGAUGAUGUUGGAUAUCAUCUAUGUGGGAUAAACUAUCAAACUCCGGGGAACCCCUAAAGCUUCUGGUACCAAGCCACAAUCGAAAGAUUGUGAGUGGCUGAAGUAAUUACUCAGAUAUGGUAACAAGUCAGAAGAUGAUCGAAAGAUAAAUGGGAUAUCGCGGAUCUAAGUCAGAUGUAAUUACAUCUGUAAAAGAGCAACGAGUAGACGGUAGUUGACACGAAAGGUUUCCUUCUGUGUUUAAGGUGUACUCUAAUGGAUUUCGAAAGAAAUUAUCGAGUCAGAAUCCUUUCUUAGUAAAGAGACAAAUAAUAAAUACUAUACAUAAAAGAGACUUUAAAAGUUUUAGUACUGUAUCAACUGUAACAAAAUUACCUGGUUGAUGAGUAGCUGGAUUUGUAGACGUUGAAGGUUGUUUCCGUAUUUCUAUAAUUAAAAAUAAGAAUUACAAAGGGAACCCUUGACUUCCAGAUCUUUAUAGUGAAAAUAAUGGAUUGGGUGGUACUAUCCCUCUAUCUGUUAGACUUUAUUUCCAAAUAGGGUUACACUUAAAAGAUGAAAAGAUUUUAAAUUUAAUUCAAUCCACAUUAGGGGGUUGGAAAGGUUUAUAUAUCUACAAGUCGUCCAUAUUCAGUUGAAUUACAAGUAUCUUCUUUUAAGGAUAUGUAUGCUAUUAUAGCAUUUUUUGAUAAAUAUCCUCUAAUUACUCAAAAGUGUACUGAAAAGCCUAAUAAAGAGCAUCUUACUAUAGAAGGUUUAAUAAAAUUAGUGGAAAUAAAAGCUUUAAAGGUCUUCCUGAUCUAUUAAAAGAAGCUUUCCCUAAACUUAAACUUAAUACAGGUAGAUGUAAAAUUAUUAAAGAAAUACCUGAUCCUAAUUGAAUAGCUGGUUUUGCCAGUGGUGAAGGAUGUUUCAUGGUUAGAUUAUUUAAAUCUACUAGUUAUGCAAUAGGUUAUCAAACACAAUUAAAAUUUCAAAUAACUCAACAAGCUCGAGAUAAGUAUUUAAUGGAGAGAUUAGUUAGUUAUUUAGAUUGUGGUUAUAUUUCUGAAGGUGGAGAUUUUUCAAGUAACCAAAUUUACGGAAAUUGUUGAAAAAAUAAUUUGAAAAGUACCAGAUAAUAGGAGUUAAAUUGGAUAAUUAUCAUGACUUUAAACUUAUAAGUGACAAAGAUCACUUAACAGAUGAAGGUUUAGAAAAAAUUAGACUAUUAAAAUCUAAUAUGAACACAUUUAGAGAUAUUAACUAAGGUUAAUCUUUAUUUGCAUAGCCUUAUAGACAUUAAGGUUAAUACCUAUCCUCAAAGUAUAGUGUGGAAAUAUUUAGGUUUUAGUAGAUCAAUCUAAUAAUAUGCAAGUAUUAUAUGUUUCAUAAAUUAUAUGAUAAAUCUGAUGGUUAUGCGUAACAGAGCACUGAUUAAUUUUAGAAAAAAACACCGAAAAUAUAACGGAUCUAAACAAUAUACCGAAACCUUGUACGUAUAUAAAAUAUAAAAUAUAAAUGUUCUAUAUACGGGGUAGCGGAACAAUGGAUAUAUCUUAGAUUAAUUCUAUUUAAGACUUAAAAUAAAGAUAAUCCAAGAGAGAAUGCUGACAUGAGUAACGAAAAAGGAAUAAAUUUCCUCGCCUUAAGCUUAUGGUAUUUUAUUUAAAUUUCGGUAUCUAAGUUAAAUCUAUAAUAAUAUUAAUUUAUUAUUAAACCCAAAGGGGAUAUUUAAAUUAAAAACGAUGAAAAAGAGAAUAAUUGUUUACAUAACCUUUAUUAGUGAUAAAGGUUCAGGAAAAUAUAACAAUUAAGUUUUAUAUUCUCACUUAAGUAAUUAAGUUAAUAAACCGUACCUAAAUACUAACACAAGUAAGCAAGUAGAGAAUACAAAGGCGUUUGAGUGAACAAUCCUUAAGGAACUCGGCAAAUUGACUACCGUAACUUCGGAAUAAGGAGGGCCAUUAUUCUUGAUAAAAAUUUUUGAUAUAUCAAGUAAAUAAGAGGAAGCAUAAAAUAAUGUUGUACGACUGUUUAAUAAAAACAAAGCACUCUGCAAAGAUUAAUAAUCAAAGUAUUGAGUGUGAUGUCUGCCCAAUGUCGGCUGGGUAACGAAUUUACUUAAUUGUAAAAUUAGGUUUUGAAGGAUACCCCGAUUAAUGGCGGUCUUACCUAUAAGGAUCCAAAGGUAGCGAAAUUCCUUGGCCGUUAAAUGCGGUCCUGCAUGAGUAAAAUUUGAGUUUAGGUAACUCGAAAAAUA
Coccidioides immitis RS is the source of this 3110-nucleotide ribosomal RNA. It matches the Rfam family "Bacterial large subunit ribosomal RNA", at positions 15 to 2044 of the family's 2925-position model. The record is from Rfam. NCBI's taxonomy places the organism in Eukaryota, Fungi, Ascomycota, Eurotiomycetes, Onygenales, Onygenaceae.